RNAcentral lists this small RNA (903 nucleotides) under uncultured Actinomycetes bacterium. RNAcentral describes it as "bacterial SSU rRNA". The stretch from base 1 to 470 matches the Rfam family "Bacterial small subunit ribosomal RNA", at positions 1064 to 1533 of the family's 1533-position model. The record is from RNAcentral. Lineage: Bacteria; Bacillati; Actinomycetota; Actinomycetes.
GUCGUGAGAUGUUGGGUUAAGUCCCGCAACGAGCGCAACCCUUAUCCUAUGUUGCCAGCACGUAAUGGUGGGGACUCGUAGGAGACUGCCGGGGUCAACUCGGAGGAAGGUGGGGACGACGUCAAGUCAUCAUGCCCCUUAUGUCCAGGGCUGCAAACACGCUACAAUGGCCGGUACAAAGGGCUGCAAACUCGUGAGGGUGAGCGAAUCCCAUAAAGCCGGUCUCAGUUCGGAUUGUAGGCUGCAACUCGCCUGCAUGAAGCUGGAGUUGCUAGUAAUCCCGGAUCAGCACGCCGGGGUGAAUACGUUCCCGGGCCUUGUACACACCGCCCGUCACACCACGAAAGUCGGCAACACCCGAAGCCGGUGGCCUAACCGUAAGGAAGGAGCCGUCGAAGGUGGGGUCGGUGAUUGGGGUGAAGUCGUAACAAGGUAGCCGUACCGGAAGGUGCGGCUGGAUCACCUCCUUUCUAAGGAGCUACUGUUCAAUCGUUGGCCGGCAUUCGUCCGGCCCGGUUCGAACCAGUUCCCAGUUGGUGCAUUGGUGGGUAGGUCGAACCCUGAACGAGGGUCGAGGAUCCGUCCUCCUCUCGAUCUCGAAUCGACACACUUUGUCUUCUCUUCCGUUUUGAGGGAGCCGGACCACGGUCCGACCCUCGCGCACGGCAUGGGCCUUCGGGCCCCACUGCCACGGCGUGUCCGGUGAGCGUCCCGUCCUCGUGACGGCGACGAUCCCGACGCCGGCGGUGCCCUUUGAGAACUGCAGAGCAAGCACGAGCAUCUUUGUUCUUCCAAGCUACAAAGAGCCAACGGUGGAUGCCUUGGCGCCAAGAACCGAUGAAGGACGUGAGUGACUGCGAAAAGCUGCGGGGAGCCGUCUACUGGGCCUCGAUCCGCAGAUGU